CCUACGGGGGACAGCAGUGAGGAAUAUUGGUCAAUGGACGAGAGUCUGAACCAGCCAAGUAGCGUGAAGGAUGACUGCCCUAUGGGUUGUAAACUUCUUUUAUAUGGGAAUAAACUGUUCCACGUGUGGGAUUUUGUAUGUACCAUAUGAAUAAGGAUCGGCUAACUCCGUGCCAGCAGCCGCGGUAAUACGGAGGAUCCGAGCGUUAUCCGGAUUUAUUGGGUUUAAAGGGAGCGUAGGUGGUUGGUUAAGUUAGUGGUGAAAGUGUGAGGCUAAACCGUAGAAUUGCAGUUGAAACUGGCAGUCUAGAGUACAGUAGAGGUAGGCGGAAUUCGUGGUGUAGCGGUGAAAUGCUUAGAUAUCACACAGAACACCGAUUGCGAAGGCAGUUCAC
This 394-nucleotide ribosomal RNA is filed under the name uncultured bacterium. RNAcentral's name for it is "partial 16S ribosomal RNA". It matches the Rfam family "Bacterial small subunit ribosomal RNA", at positions 338 to 729 of the family's 1533-position model. The record is from RNAcentral.